AGAUAAAGCAGCCAUUCAUACAUACACACACAAUAAAAGUAAAUAAGCAUUGUUAAUAAUUUUAACAUAAAGAUAUGGAAGAAUAUUCUAUAUGGUCAGUGAAAUAAUAAAGUUGACAUCGGUUUGUUAAGCUACAUGAGAAACUGUCCAGUGCUCUUUACUGCAGUACAUUUCUAACUGGUAAAGACUAUUACCCAACUGUCUUCCUGUGCUGGACCUUCUGGGGCUCCAGCACACCAUGGUACCUCAGGAUGCACAACAGAUUGUUGACUUGCUUUAAAUCAAAGUUGGUUUUCAAUAUAUCUUACACAGCUCAUUGGAGCUUUAACUAGGGGGCAGGUAACUUUUUAAGGAUUCUUUGUUUUAUUUUACAUAUAUGAAUGCUUAUAUGUAUGUAUGUAUGUAUGUAUGUAUGUAUGUAUGUAUGUAUGUAUGUAUAUCAUGCAUGUGUUUCAUGUCCAUGGAGGCCAGAACAAGGAUAGGGAUGCCCAGAAACUGGAGUUGCAUACAGUUAUGAGCUACUAUGUGGGUUCUAGGAAUUGACACUAGAUCCUCUCUCAGAAGGUCAAGUGAUAUUAACCACUGAGCCAUCUCCAACCCCGAGGGGAUAGCAUCACUAUGGAAAGUACUAACAGAAAGAGUAAAAGCAAACAAAUGUUUUCUUCAUGCUUUUCUCAGAGAUAUUUAUGAUUGGAAAAAUCAUUGGAAAUUUAUUCACAGUUACCUCUGAGGGAAACAAUCCAUUACUUCAAAUAAUGUCUAUGAAAACCCUUGAUAUAAAUUGAAGGUCACAAUCAAUUUCAAGGAUUCUAUCUUAGAAACUGACUGUCUGAUCCAAGUAAACAUUGACAUCUGUGUAGAUAAUGAGACAAUAAAACAAAGAAAUAAAACUGUGGUCCUCCAAACAGGAUGGAGAGAAAGUCAUUUUGGUAUGGAGAUCUACAGUCAUCACCUUCUACAAAUGACCAAACACUAGUUUUAAGCUAUAGUUAAAGGUAGAAUGAAUAUUAAUUCCUUGUAGAUAAUUUGUAUAAAUAUCCAUUGAAGAAAGGCUAUAUAUGUUUUGUCAUUUGAAUAACUCAAUACUAUUGCUAUCUACUUACUAAUAAUUUGUUUUCAGUGUAUAUAAGCAAAGUUACCUCAAAGCAAAAAAAAAAAUGCAUGAUAAAAUAGGUCAUUUGAUCAGAUAUGAUCAUUCAUGUUGUUAGUUCCAGCUAUCACUAGGGAUAGGCAGGUGGAUCUCUGUGAGGCCAAAGCCAGCCUAGUUGAUAUACUGAGUUCCAGGACAACUAGGGCUAUAUGAUAAGAUUCCACCAUAAAAUAAUUAAAUAAAUACAAAAACACCUUAAUCAAGGGAUAGAAAGAAGUGAAUGCAAAUCUUUAUCAAGUAUUAUAAUGACCUGCUUCCUAAGCAUCCAUUAACAUUUACAAAUGUACAUGUUAAAUUCUUCAUGGUACUUAAAAAUUUGCCAGUAUGUCUUUAUUCAAGAUGGCUGCUUUGAGUGCCCAAACCCAUUUCAAAAUGUGCCUAUUCUCUGGAAGCAUGCUUUCUCCUUAGGACCAUAUUCUAUGGUAUGGUCCUUUUAAUAGUCAGCAAAGGAAUAUAUCAGUUGACUGAACAAUAGAUAGAUUGGUGACAGCUCUGAAGUCUCAAAAAUUGCAAAUGCAAUUAAAAUCAUUCACAACAAGCCCCCACCAAAAGAUGAACCCACCAGGAAUACAUUCAGAGCUUGCAUCGUUUCUACAUAUUUUUCUCUAAAAGGAUUAUUUUAAAUGUUAAGUUUCAAACAUGUCUAAUAUAAUAGUAAAGGUACCAGUAUUAUAAAACUCCCUUAACAUUGGCAUCAUCUUAUUUACCAAUGUAUUGUUAACUUACUUUACGCACAAGGAUCUUCUCUAUCACAAGGAAGGCCAUAUAUAUAUAUAUAUAUAUAUAUAUAUAUAUAUAUAUAUAUAUAUAUAUUUCAUCUCUGCUUGAUCUGUCUUAAAUAUAAUACAAGAAUAGUCAAAUGUGUCAAAUCUGAAGUGCAAAGUAGGACAUUUUAGACCUAAUGAAAGACAUGAAGCAUAUUAGUUCUAGUUUACAUAGUGUCUUAAAUGAGGUAGUGGUUUAUGUAGAUCUGUAAUGAUUGCUAGGGUUUAAGUAGUGGGGACUCUGAGUAUCAUAAAUAAGAUGAGAAAAUGACUAAGUGAAGGGCAUAAAAUAAAAUUAAUAAAAUGGAGUGGCAUAGUGUUGAUGAAGCACAGUGCUCAGGGAAAGGUGAUGAUCACAGAAUAAGUUUUUCCCACAUUAUGUGUUCAGUACUCACAGAAAGUUUUUAUAUACUUAUUUGUAACUAGAGAUAUGUUUCAUUAUAUACUUGAGAAAGAAUGAAAGAAAGAAAGG
This 2386-nucleotide long non-coding RNA is filed under the name Mus musculus (house mouse). Its description in RNAcentral is "long non-coding RNA chr6:45901937-45904323". Lineage: Eukaryota; Metazoa; Chordata; Mammalia; Rodentia; Muridae. The record is from RNAcentral.